GGAUCCUAAAAAAAAAAAAAAAAAAGCCCUGACUAUAAUGUGUUUCAUGUGCCGACUUUAGUUAGAAUUGGCUUGAAAGCCAUUUUGUGUUUCGAGUGUGGGAUUAAGGAGGCCAUUGUCUCCUUGUUGGGUUAUAUACCCUCACUAAAGAGUAGAACAUCAACUCUCUCCACCUUCCCUAAUCCUUCCAGGAUUCUGGGUACAUCACCUUGUUGGGUAUAUGUUAAAAAUUUUGGCUAGGUAAAUUAUGUAUUUGGUCUCCUUCCACGUAACCUACUGGUAUCAGAACAGAAGAUUCAGAACCACUUGGCUAGAGAGAGAUGGUCAGUAUUAAACAGAGUGUGCACUGCUCAUGCGGAGGACCCAAGCUCGGUUCUCAGUACUCACAUCCAGACAGCUCAUAGCUUCCCGUAACCACCUCGAGGGCACCCACGAGCAUGCACAAACCCACACGUAGUCACACAGCUGAUGGAAGGGGCUGGAGAGAUGGCUUAGCUGGUGAUGCGCUUGCACAGGCUCCGGGUUUGAUCCCUAGCACCAUGUGAUAGCUCGUAACCGUAUAUAACUCCGUUUCCGGGGAACCGGAUGCCCUUUUCAUGCCUCCAGGGGUGCACGUGGCAUCUAGACAUGCAGGCAGGCUAAACAGUUACAUAGAUAAAACAUUCGUUAAAAGAAUGAAAUCUUGAGGACGCUUUGUUCAUCGUGCUAGAAGAGGGACUACUGUGAACUCCGUUCUGAACUGUCAUAGGCCCUUUUAACCUAGAGCUGAAUCUUUAGGCUGGGAUCAUCUUGCUGUUAAAAAGGCUAUUUUUUUUAUGAUAGAAUAUAAGACAUUGAGGUAUGACUUGACUUGUAGUAGCAACAGCAGCUACUCUUCGUCAGUGCUUGGUGUGCACACAGUGGGGGUCAGCAAAGGUUAUCCGUAAGGAGCCAGAGAGGAAGUAUUCUGGCUUUGUGUGGCGGAUGGCUCUGUGGCAAGUGUCCAGUGCUGCUUCUGUCGCUCUAGGCUCUGCUAGAUACUUCUAAAUGAACAUGUGAUCUACCUGUCUACAAAGGUUUGCUCACCUCACUGGCAAAAAGGCUGGGUUUGGCACAUAGCCUGUAGUUUAUUGACUCCUGGGCUGGGUGAUUCUCUGAGUUCUACCUUUGAGCCCCCACCAUGGUGCAGGAAGUGAGACUCCUUGCCCAUCUC
Molecule: long non-coding RNA, 1192 nt
Filed under: Rattus norvegicus (Norway rat)
Lineage: Eukaryota; Metazoa; Chordata; Mammalia; Rodentia; Muridae
Description: long non-coding RNA NONRATT009884
Source: RNAcentral